Molecule: non-coding RNA, 763 nt
Filed under: Coraebus cavifrons
Lineage: Eukaryota; Metazoa; Arthropoda; Insecta; Coleoptera; Buprestidae
Source: RNAcentral
UUUCACACAAAAGUUUUAUCUUAGCUUAGGGAUUGUGUCUAUGGUUUUGUAUCAUGCAAGUUUUAGCUUUAUUGUUUAAAUAGACUCGAAUUUAGGCAGUUAUUAGUUUUAAGUUUUUAAUAAUUUAAGAUUUAGUCAACCAUAAUUGCUUUUACUAAGGGUGUGCCAGCAGUAGCGGUUAGACACUCGGGGCUUCACAAUUUUUGUUGGUUUAUAGAAAGCGGAAGGUAAAAAUUUAAUUUUGAUUUUUAUUGGGUGAAAUUUAAAUUUUAAUAAUAAAUUUUGUUUGUGGUUCUAUUAAAUUUUUUUUUAAACUAGGAUUAGAUACCCUAUUAUUUUUAAUGUAAUUUUUAAAACCUAGUUAGUAGUAGUUAAGAUCUUGAAAACGAAAAGAUUUGGCGGUAUUUUAGUCUUUUCAGAGGAGCCUGUCCCGUAAUUGAUGUUCCACGAUAAAAAUUACUUAUUCUAAUUAGCUUGUAUAUCGUCGUGAUUGAUUGUUUUAAAAGAAUUAAAAUGAUCAUUAAAUUUUUUAAAUAAAAAGUCAGAUCAAGAUGCAGCUGAUGUAUAAGGGGAGAUGGGCUACAAUAAGUAGACUUAUAUGGUGUUUUUUAUUAAUUUAAAAUAUUAAAGUGGAUUUGACAGUAAUUUUAUUAAAUUUUUUAAAAUGAUUUAGCUCUAAAAUAUGCACAUAUCGCCCGUCACUUUCAUUAACGUGAAAUAAGUCGUAACAGAGUAGGCGUACUGGAAAGUGUGCCUGGAAAGG